GGGACAACAUUUGGAAACGAAUGCUAAUACCGCAUAACAACUUUAAACACAAGUUUUAAGUUUGAAAGAUGCAAUUGCAUCACUCAAAGAUGAUCCCGCGUUGUAUUAGCUAGUUGGUGAGGUAAAGGCUCACCAAGGCGAUGAUACAUAGCCGACCUGAGAGGGUGAUCGGCCACAUUGGGACUGAGACACGGCCCAAACUCCUACGGGAGGCAGCAGUAGGGAAUCUUCGGCAAUGGACGAAAGUCUGACCGAGCAACGCCGCGUGAGUGAAGAAGGUUUUCGGAUCGUAAAACUCUGUUGGUAGAGAAGAACGUUGGUGAGAGUGGAAAGCUCAUCAAGUGACGGUAACUACCCAGAAAGGGACGGCUAACUACGUGCCAGCAGCCGCGGUAAUACGUAGGUCCCGAGCGUUGUCCGGAUUUAUUGGGCGUAAAGCGAGCGCAGGUGGUUUAUUAAGUCUGGUGUAAAAGGCAGUGGCUCAACCAUUGUAUGCAUUGGAAACUGGUAGACUUGAGUGCAGGAGAGGAGAGUGGAAUUCCAUGUGUAGCGGUGAAAUGCGUAGAUAUAUGGAGGAACACCGGUGGCGAAAGCGGCUCUCUGGCCUGUAACUGACACUGAGGCUCGAAAGCGUGGGGAGCAAACAGGGUUAGAUACCCUGGUAGUCCACGCCGUAAACGAUGAGUGCUAGAUGUAGGGAGCUAUAAGUUCUCUGUAUCGCAGCUAACGCAAU
This 733-nucleotide ribosomal RNA is filed under the name Lactococcus lactis. Its description in RNAcentral is "bacterial SSU rRNA". It matches the Rfam family "Bacterial small subunit ribosomal RNA", at positions 140 to 861 of the family's 1533-position model. The record is from RNAcentral. Lineage: Bacteria; Bacillati; Bacillota; Bacilli; Lactobacillales; Streptococcaceae.